RNAcentral lists this unclassified non-coding RNA (338 nucleotides) under soil metagenome. RNAcentral's name for it is "partial contains 5.8S ribosomal RNA, internal transcribed spacer 2, and large subunit ribosomal RNA". The stretch from base 1 to 120 matches the Rfam family "5.8S ribosomal RNA", at positions 35 to 154 of the family's 154-position model. The record is from RNAcentral.
GAUGAAGAACGCAGCGAAAUGCGAUAAGUAAUGUGAAUUGCAGAAUUCAGUGAAUCAUCGAAUCUUUGAACGCACAUUGCGCCCGCCAGUAUUCUGGCGGGCAUGCCUGUCCGAGCGUCAUUUCAACCAUCAAGCCCCCGGGCUUGUGUUGGGGACCUGCGGCUGCCCGCAGGCCCUGAAAACCAGUGGCGGGCUCGCUGUCACACCGAGCGUAGUAGCAAUCACCUCGCUCAGGGCGUGCUGCGGGUUCCGGCCGUUAAACAGCCUUACAAAACCCAAGGUUGACCUCGGAUCAGGUAGGAAGACCCGCUGAACUUAAGCAUAUCAAAAGCGGAGGA